UGCUAUACAUGCAAGUCGAACGCUUCUUUUUCCACCGGAGCUUGCUCCACCGGAAAAAGAGGAGUGGCGAACGGGUGAGUAACACGUGGGUAACCUGCCCAUCAGAAGGGGAUAACACUUGGAAACAGGUGCUAAUACCGUAUAACAAUCAAAACCGCAUGGUUUUGAUUUGAAAGGCGCUUUCGGGUGUCGCUGAUGGAUGGACCCGCGGUGCAUUAGCUAGUUGGUGAGGUAACGGCUCACCAAGGCCACGAUGCAUAGCCGACCUGAGAGGGUGAUCGGCCACAUUGGGACUGAGACACGGCCCAAACUCCUACGGGAGGCAGCAGUAGGGAAUCUUCGGCAAUGGACGAAAGUCUGACCGAGCAACGCCGCGUGAGUGAAGAAGGUUUUCGGAUCGUAAAACUCUGUUGUUAGAGAAGAACAAGGAUGAGAGUAACUGUUCAUCCCUUGACGGUAUCUAACCAGAAAGCCACGGCUAACUACGUGCCAGCAGCCGCGGUAAAAAAAA
This 511-nucleotide ribosomal RNA is filed under the name Enterococcus faecium. RNAcentral describes it as "bacterial SSU rRNA". It matches the Rfam family "Bacterial small subunit ribosomal RNA", at positions 45 to 529 of the family's 1533-position model. The record is from RNAcentral. Lineage: Bacteria; Bacillati; Bacillota; Bacilli; Lactobacillales; Enterococcaceae.